CUAGAAGCAUGGCCAGACGCGAGUCAAGCGUAUCCACUUCAGUAUUUGAGUAAACAAGGUGCUUUGGCUGAUCGACUCUCAAAGACUGCAACUGGUGCCUUCACAUGGCCUACUAUCGGAAGUUCUGGAGUCUCGUCAAACGCAGAAGCAGGCAUUGGCAAUCUUUCGACCCAAUGAGGCCGUCACCGGACUCCAUAGAUGCUCCUCGGAUCAACUAAGGAUGUACUUCAUACCAGA
This is a long non-coding RNA of Lolium rigidum, 237 nucleotides long. RefSeq lists it as uncharacterized. The record is from RefSeq and is a predicted model, not a curated record. The transcript has 3 exons. Lineage: Eukaryota; Viridiplantae; Streptophyta; Magnoliopsida; Poales; Poaceae.